AAAUCAAGCUGGAACUCUGUUCAGAUGAUGUUAGCUGACCCCAUGGGGGCAUGGAGUGAAGAUAGUCCCUCAGGGUUGUCCUGACAAGUCCACUGGCCAGGUUUUUAUGCUUCCACCUGGAUGGGUCAUUGCAUAGAAGCUACCCCCAGAGGACCUGGUGGCUGAAGACUGCCCACUGACAGCACAUCCAGCAACUGGACGACAAGUCCUCAAAGGGAGGUCUGGACAGCACAUCACCAUGUCCCCACAGCAAGGGUCACAGCUCCAGAGGGAUGGAGGACACUGAGAUCUUUCUGUCCUGAUUGACUGCACCAUCUUUCUCAAGGAACACUCAUUGGAAAGAGAUCUCCCCAUCACGUGGCUAUACAUGUACAACUGAAAGAAGCCAUUGAAGAUCUUCCUCGUAAAAUUGAUACUGACUUAGAAGAAUCAGGUUCAAACUUGAGUGUUGGACAGAGACAACUGGUGUGCCUUGCCAGGGCUUUUCUCAGGAAAAACAAGAUACUGAUUACUGACAAAACCACAUCAAAUGUGGAUCCAAGGUUUUGGAUUCAGAGAGCCUAGAAGAAAAUGAUGAGCCAUAUGUAUUGGUGCAAAAUAGACAGCCUAUUUUACAAGAUGGUGCAAGAGUUUAGACAAGAGUGAGGCCACUGCCCUCACUGAAAG
Non-coding RNA from Odocoileus virginianus texanus, 666 nucleotides. The record is from RefSeq and is a predicted model, not a curated record. NCBI's taxonomy places the organism in Eukaryota, Metazoa, Chordata, Mammalia, Artiodactyla, Cervidae.